CAUUAACACAUUGCAUUAAUUUGCAAAAUCCAAACCUUGAACCAAGUUUAUCAUGGGUGUUUUGAGAGCUGAGCGUACGUAAGUAUGUUAAGUAUCUCGAAACACUACCUUGCUUAAACCUGCUUCAUUUUAACAUUUUCAAUAUAACAAAUUAAAAAAUCUAGAAAAUUUUCAACGAUGGAUAUCUAGGUUCCCAUAACGAUGAAGAACGCAGCGAAAUGCGAUACGCAAUGCGAAUUGCAGAACUCCGCGAGUCAUCAGAUCUUUGAACGCAAAUGGCGCCAGUUUACUGGCAUGUUUGUUUCAGUGUGUUUGGAGAGUAUCAAACUAAUCAUUUAUUUGAAUGUGAUUGAAAAGAUGCUUGACAUCUUUUCUUUCAUUAAAUAAGAAGGUGUGAGGAUAUUUACUCGCACUGAUCAAAACGAAGUAGUCACAUUUAUGUGAUCUCGUUUAAUCAGAUUGCUUGUAUUUUUUCUUUUUCUUUUGAAAAGGACCUCUAUUAUCCUAAAUAACUAUUUAUCUCCAAUCAAUUGACACCUGAAAUCAAGCAAGGCUACCC
Molecule: ribosomal RNA, 559 nt
Filed under: uncultured ciliate
Lineage: Eukaryota; Ciliophora
Description: eukaryotic LSU rRNA
Rfam family: 5.8S ribosomal RNA (bases 167-312)
Source: RNAcentral